This 447-nucleotide ribosomal RNA is filed under the name uncultured bacterium. RNAcentral describes it as "bacterial SSU rRNA". It matches the Rfam family "Bacterial small subunit ribosomal RNA", at positions 355 to 825 of the family's 1533-position model. The record is from RNAcentral.
UGGGGAAUAUUGGACAAUGGGCGAAAGCCUGAUCCAGCCAUGCCGCGUGAGUGACGAAGGCCUUAGGGUUGUAAAGCUCUUUUGGCGGGGAAGAUAAUGACGGUACCCGCAGAAUAAGCUCCGGCUAACUUCGUGCCAGCAGCCGCGGUAAUACGAAGGGAGCUAGCGUUGUUCGGAAUCACUGGGCGUAAAGCGCACGUAGGCGGAUUGUUUAGUCAGGGGUGAAAUCCCGGAGCUCAACUUCGGAACUGCCUUUGAUACUGGCAAUCUCGAGUCCGAUAGAGGUGGGUGGAAUUCCUAGUGUAGAGGUGAAAUUCGUAGAUAUUAGGAAGAACACCGGUGGCGAAGGCGGCCCACUGGAUCGGUACUGACGCUGAGGUGCGAAAGCGUGGGGAGCAAACAGGAUUAGAUACCCAAGUAGUCCCUGAGCGGGCUGGCAAGGCGCAU